RNAcentral lists this ribosomal RNA (96 nucleotides) under Corethrogyne filaginifolia var. linifolia. RNAcentral describes it as "partial 5.8S ribosomal RNA". It matches the Rfam family "5.8S ribosomal RNA", at positions 64 to 154 of the family's 154-position model. From Rfam's summary of the family: 5.8S ribosomal RNA (5.8S rRNA) is a component of the large subunit of the eukaryotic ribosome. It is transcribed by RNA polymerase I as part of the 45S precursor that also contains 18S and 28S rRNA. Functionally, it is thought that 5.8S rRNA may be involved in ribosome translocation. The record is from RNAcentral. RNAcentral also lists the same sequence under 1 other name. Lineage: Eukaryota; Viridiplantae; Streptophyta; Magnoliopsida; Asterales; Asteraceae.
GGUGUGAAUUGCAGAAUCCCGUGAACCAUCGAGUUUUUGAACGCAAGUUGCGCCCGAAGCCAUUCGGCUGAGGGCACGUCUGCCUGGGCGUCACGC